UACGUAGGGUGCGAGCGUUGUCCGGAAUUAUUGGGCGUAAAGGGCUCAUAGGCGGUUUGUCGCGUCGGGAGUGAAAACACCGGGCUUAACUCGGUGCUUGCUUUCGAUACGGGCAGACUAGAGGUAUGCAGGGGAGAAUGGAAUUCCUGGUGUAGCGGUGAAAUGCGCAGAUAUCAGGAGGAACACCGGUGGCGAAGGCGGUUCUCUGGGCAUUACCUGACGCUGAGGAGCGAAAGUGUGGGGAGCGAACAGG
RNAcentral lists this ribosomal RNA (253 nucleotides) under uncultured bacterium. RNAcentral describes it as "partial 16S ribosomal RNA". It matches the Rfam family "Bacterial small subunit ribosomal RNA", at positions 524 to 776 of the family's 1533-position model. The record is from RNAcentral.